ACUGCCCUUAGAGGCAUUGUAAGUGUGGCUGCUGUAUCACGUGUGUGUCAGUAGGUGGCAGAAAGGAGAGAGGCUAUGUCUAUGCUCCAUGUUCUGACCUGUGAACAUCUGAAAGAUUAGUUGCCUAACAUU
Acomys russatus (golden spiny mouse) is the source of this 132-nucleotide small nucleolar RNA. RefSeq annotates it as small nucleolar RNA SNORA17. The record is from RefSeq and is a predicted model, not a curated record. NCBI's taxonomy places the organism in Eukaryota, Metazoa, Chordata, Mammalia, Rodentia, Muridae. The transcript has a single exon.